RNAcentral lists this ribosomal RNA (253 nucleotides) under uncultured bacterium. RNAcentral's name for it is "partial 16S ribosomal RNA". It matches the Rfam family "Bacterial small subunit ribosomal RNA", at positions 524 to 776 of the family's 1533-position model. The record is from RNAcentral.
UACGGAGGACCCGAGCGUUAUCCGGAUUUAUUGGGUUUAAAGGGAGCGUAGGUGGAUUGUUAAGUCAGUUGUGAAAGUUUGCGGCUCAACCGUAAAAUUGCAGUUGAAACUGGCAGUCUUGAGUACAGUAGAGGUGGGCGGAAUUCGUGGUGUAGCGGUGAAAUGCUUAGAUAUCACGAAGAACUCCGAUUGCGAAGGCAGCUCACUGGACUGCAACUGACACUGAGGCUCGAAAGUGUGGGUAUCAAACAGG